This 438-nucleotide ribosomal RNA is filed under the name uncultured Leptolinea sp. Its description in RNAcentral is "bacterial SSU rRNA". It matches the Rfam family "Bacterial small subunit ribosomal RNA", at positions 930 to 1382 of the family's 1533-position model. Lineage: Bacteria; Bacillati; Chloroflexota; Anaerolineae; Anaerolineales; Anaerolineaceae. The record is from RNAcentral.
CAGCGGAGCGUGUGGUUUAAUUCGAUGAUACACGAAGAACCUUACAGGGUUUGACAUGCUAGUGGUAGGGAUCCGAAAGGUGACCGACCCCUCGGGGAGCUAGCACAGGUGCUGCAUGGCUGUCGUCAGCUCGUGUCGUGAGAUGUUCGGUUAAGUCCGCUAACGAGCGCAACCCUCGCUGUGUGUUAUAUGUGUCACACGGGACUGCCGGUCUUAAGCCGGAGGAAGGUGGGGAUGAUGUCAAGUCAGCAUGGCCUUUAUAUCCUGGGCUACACACACGCUACAAUGGCCAACACAAUAGGUUGCUAAGCCGCGAGGUGGCGCCAAUCCAUAAAGUUGGUCUCAGUUCAGAUUGUAGGCUGCAACCCGCCUGCAUGAAGAUGGAGUUGCUAGUAACCGCAGGUCAGCUAUACUGCGGUGAAUACGUUCCCGGGGCUU